RNAcentral lists this small nuclear RNA (341 nucleotides) under Chinchilla lanigera (long-tailed chinchilla). RNAcentral describes it as "7SK RNA (ENSCLAG00000021859.1)". The stretch from base 1 to 305 matches the Rfam family "7SK RNA". From Rfam's summary of the family: 7SK was discovered as an abundant small nuclear RNA in the mid-70s but a possible function has only recently been suggested. Two independent studies have found that 7SK RNA binds the CDK9/cyclin T complex (known as elongation factor P-TEFb). P-TEFb activates transcription by phosphorylating the C-terminal domain of RNA polymerase II. The record is from Rfam by way of RNAcentral. Lineage: Eukaryota; Metazoa; Chordata; Mammalia; Rodentia; Chinchillidae.
GAAUGGGAGGGUGCCUUGGCUGUGACAUCUGUCACCCUAUCAAUUACCCAGCAUUGAUUCAGUUGAUCUGGCUGGCUAGGUGAUUGUCCCCUUCCUUCCUCAUCACUCUACAUGUGUCCCUCCUGAAGCUGCAUGUGCAGUCAGAGAGGAGGACCUUCUCCAAUAGUGAAGGAAGGACCUCCAUUCUUUGGACAAGGAUAUUCAGGUAGUUGUGUUCCCCUGCUAGAACUUCCAAACAAAUUCUCAAGAAAACAGCAAGAUGCCCUAGAAUUGGAAAAAGGGAAGAAUAAGAGCACAGAAGCCCAGGAGGCCCAGGGUAAUAGCGAGAGGGCCAUGUACCU